ACUCCUGCGGGAGGCAGCAGUGGGGAAUUUUGGACAAUGGGCGAAAGCCUGAUCCAGCAAUGCCGCGUGUGUGAAGAAGGCCUUCGGGUUGUAAAGCACUUUUGUCCGGAAAGAAAUCCUUGGCUCUAAUACAGUCGGGGGAUGACGGUACCGGAAGAAUAAGCACCGGCUAACUACGUGCCAGCAGCCGCGGUAAUACGUAGGGUGCGAGCGUUAAUCGGAAUUACUGGGCGUAAAGCGUGCGCAGGCGGUUUGCUAAGACCGAUGUGAAAUCCCCGGGCUCAACCUGGGAACUGCAUUGGUGACUGGCAGGCUAGAGUAUGGCAGAGGGGGGUAGAAUUCCACGUGUAGCAGUGAAAUGCGUAGAGAUGUGGAGGAAUACCGAUGGCGAAGGCAGCCCCCUGGGCCAAUACUGACGCUCAUGCACGAAAGCGUGGGGAGCAAACAGGAUUAGAAACCCGGGUAGUCCCA
Molecule: ribosomal RNA, 471 nt
Filed under: uncultured organism
Description: partial 16S ribosomal RNA
Rfam family: Bacterial small subunit ribosomal RNA
Source: RNAcentral